GCCCUCACCUGCAAGUCGGCUGACCCGAACGACCCUCGUUUGCUGUGUACCGGAAGUGCUUGGCCUUCUUGGCGGCUGUUGUCCGGAAGUGGAGUCCCUCCCCCUCAGCCUCGGGGCGGUCCAGCUGUCCCUGUAAGGGCGGGGCCUAGGGGCUACCUUGGGAUUGAAUGCCCCGCAGCUGUUGGAAGCCUCCCUCUGAUGUUUCCUUAAGCAUUGUUGGAAAGGCCGCACUAUGGCUUUGGGCAGCGUUCACACCCUUGGCCCGCCUUAAGCUGUGUGGCCUUGGGUGGGUUAUGCGACCUCUCUGAGCUUCCCAGGUGACUCCUCUGCAAAAUGGGAUGGUGAAAUCCGAGUUGGUGCUAAAUCGUAACGUUCAUGCUGCCUAGCAGGCCUUCAGCAGACCGGCCUCUGUCGUCUGGUAGCACCACUGGCUCUGGGUAGAUCUGAGAAGCAGCUUUCUAAGGCGGCCCGCUCGGCUCGCAUUCCCGCCCGGAUUCAAAGGACUGACAAUUCCUUCUCUCCCUCAACAACGUCUUCCCUAUCUAAUCCUAACAAGCAAGCCUUAAGGAAUUGCAGAGUUUCCGGUUGAAGGUUCUCCAGGCCCCCUUGUUUAAGGACAGAUUAACUCUCACUGAAGAACAGAAGAGAAUCCGAAACACACAAGUGUCUCUACCUUAAGCAGGAGAGGGAGUGGGUGGGAGCUCCCCAGAUGGCCUUUACCUUGGGCUUUUUUCUUUCCCCCUCAUUUGGGGUGCUAGUGACCUGGGCUCUGGCCCACAACACUUUCUGUAAGCAAGAACCGUGGAUGUCACGACUAAGGAAGAGAUCUCGUGUUUAUUCUUGAGCUCUUCUGCGAGGUGAGACUCAUUUGAACAAGAGAGGCAGCUGCCAGAGCGCACUGAACAUGCCUCGGAUAUUCAGGGAGAGUGAAAACCAACUCUAGUCACCUGAAGAAAGACAAGGCUUUGAUUUCCAUCGUGAUGAGAGGUACAGGUGAAUGCAGACGCUUCAGGGACACCCUAAGGUAUUCUGGCCCCAGCAGGGUUCUCCUGCCCCACUCUCUGGAAGAUUUCACAUUCCGGGCACCUCAUCUUCCUCACCCAGCAACGAUGUUUUGUGUCUUGAUCCCAGUUGAAGAGCCUGGCAUACAAACAACCUAGGCUAUUCAUUCCUGGAGCAAUUUUACAUAUGCAAGACGGAAGCCAAGACUGAUGUCUUCAUCCCGGACGUGCUGGUUCACACACAUUCUGGGUGAACGAGUCAUGCUCAGGGGUCAGAACAGGAAGUGGCUACUGUUGGACGAAAGAUUCUGCAGGAAAAGAUGAAAGAUGCUUCAUGGCUCUGGGAGUGGAGAAAGAGAAAAGAGGCCAGCCUUGUCUGCAGCUGUCACGGUGAAAAGUUCCAGACACUGGAGACUCAGGUGCUGGCAGAUGAUUUAUGAGAAGUGACAUCUUGGGACAGAGGCCACCUCCAGCCAGAGCCCCAUUCCUGCCUGAGCCAUGCUUGGAACAGCGAAAUUUCUGGAAGCUGGAAGUCCAGGAUCAAGGUGCCAGCAGAUUCGGUGUCUGUACUUGCGAAGUAAUACACUCGGGAGAAGAAAACGUACACACGCGACGCAACAACUAGCCCCAGCGUGAUGGGACGCGGGCGCCAACAGUGAGUGACCACCCCGCGGCGCGGGUACCGGCCCGAGGGCCCGGGAGGGAGGGGCACCCACCGCCGGGAGGAUCUGGGACUGCAAGAUGAUGCUGUUGGGAAGGCCGUUCUGCCUGCUCUCGGUCGUGGCCUCGGCCCACGUCACGUGGAAGCCGGUCACAGGCCGCUGGACGGUGGCCUUGCUCGUCUUCCAGGAGAAGCGCCCCGUGACGUUCGUGUCCCGCACCACGAAGGAGGCCGAGAGGUUCUCGGGUUUGGCGUGCACUUUGGAAUGAACGUGACCUGGAGCAGCGGGAAGAGGAAGGCCGGGUCAGGGGAUGGAGAGCGCGCAGGGGCCCUCGACGGCAGAGUAAAGGCUCCUGAGCACAGUUUCCUGCUUCCUGACCGACCCUGGUGCUUCCCCGUGUGGCCUGAGUGGUGUGGAGGCUCCCUGCUCCUGGAGGCUAACUUCAUCAUCACACACUACCAAUGUGACCAGCACCUCACAGGCAGCCUCAUGUAUAAAUCAGCAAUUUUCCUCUUCCUUCUCUGGAUGCACCGUAUCACUGAUUCCUUCACGCUGAACUCACACCUGGAGGGGGACAAGCCAGCCGCACAUCUUCCUCGGAAGGCACCGUGUCGCCUUCUCACUGAGAAGGCUGAGAAACACCAGGCAGCACUCCACCACUAUGCUUGGGGCCACUUUAACCAGAACAAAUCUCCAGCAAAGAGCAAGAAAAUGCAACAAAACAGACCAGAAACCCACGGCACUAAACAGACCGUGCAAAGGAUGUGUUGCCAGUAUGAGAGCGGAAACGAGAGGGCAGCGUCCCCUCAGCUUCAGGUGGGAACGUGUACGUGGGGCGACUCAAGCCCGUCGCCACUCCCUGCACGAGCAUCCCCACGAAGGACCACACAAGCGCCCCCCAGUACUGGCUAGGGGUCACAAAUAAAUCGUAGUGACUGCACGAAUCUUCAUCCACAACCCUUUCAUAUGUUACCUUUAAGCCAGUCCUCACCCUAUGGUGCAGAGGUAUUGACUGAAGUGGUCCCACUGCCAUCACUGGAUUUAAAUAGUGAUCACUGCAGGCCCACGUUUCCAGCACUUUACAUGCAGUCUCAGCAGUGUCUGACAUCCCUCCCUCUUCUUAAACCCCUUGCCCGCCUUGGCUUCUGUCUCAAAUCUCCCCGUUUUUCUCCAGUUCCUCUGAGCACUCACUUGCACUGUCCUCUGCUGCAUCACCCCCCUUUGUCCUGAAACUGGAGUUCCGUCCUGCCCGGUCCUGGUCCCUCUUCUCUCUAGGGGAUCCCACCCUUAUUUAAGAACUUAUUCUUAAACUCUAUGUUAUUCUGGUCCAAGUACUACUUUACAACUGUACAGUGUUUUACCUAUAAUAGUUGCUUACAGACACUUGUUUGCAGUGACUUUUCUUAGUUGUAAAUAAUACUGUUAGCUUGUUUCCAUAUAAAUAUUCUGGUGAAUUACUAGUAAAUAAGCAACCAAGUAACCAAGAAGAAAGCAAGGAAAAAAAGUGCUUCUGACUAAUCCUUAUUUUGAAUAAACAGAAAUGAAACAGCCAAAAAAAUUUUUUAAAUAAACAUUAUGUCUACAAUCAUCACUUUUAGUCAAUAUUGUACUCAAAGUCUCAGCCAGUGUUAAGACAGGGGAAAGAAGCAAAAUAAUUCUCAUUAUUUAUGGACUAUGUGAUUGUUUUUAUAGAAAAUGGAAAAGAAUCAUCAGAUGAAAUGCUUUAAUGGACAAAGUAAUAUAACAAUAUAUUUGGAUUCACAGUCAAUAUAAAAAUAUAA
Molecule: long non-coding RNA, 3444 nt
Organism: Balaenoptera acutorostrata (minke whale)
Lineage: Eukaryota; Metazoa; Chordata; Mammalia; Artiodactyla; Balaenopteridae
Exons: 10
Source: RefSeq, a predicted model, not a curated record